RNAcentral lists this long non-coding RNA (512 nucleotides) under Ananas comosus (pineapple). Its description in RNAcentral is "long non-coding RNA (ACOM_LNC015163)". Lineage: Eukaryota; Viridiplantae; Streptophyta; Magnoliopsida; Poales; Bromeliaceae. The record is from RNAcentral.
UACUAAAUAAUAUUGAUGAUAGUAAUUAAUGGUUGACUUGAGUGAUGGAUAGUGAUGGAGAGGGUGAUAAUAAGAAAUGACUUGUUUGGGAAGAUGAUAUUUUGACAUGGGGGUAAUGUGGUUAGAGCUGCUAGGGUUAAUGAGCCUGGCCAUCAUACACGGUUUACACUAUCAAUGAAAGGCCUUGAAAAUGGAAAAAGAAUUGAAAAGCGAAAGAAAAUAGAAAAAGGAAAGGGAAUUAAUAAAAGAAAAGGAUAAGUUGUCGUCAUCUCGACUGUCUUUAUCCAUUGAUGAAGAGCCAGAAUGGGUUGACUUUGAGGAUACAGAAGAAGAAGAGGAUAUUGGAGAUGAAAAAUCUAAAGAAGAAGAAGAAGAAGAAGAAGAAGAUUAUGGUGAUGCAAACGAUGAGGAUGAGGAUUAGGAUGAGAAUAAUACUUGAAGAACAACCAAAUGAGAACAUUGGCAUCACAAUCACUUUUAAGUUUUAAGUUGAAAGUUGGAUAUAUAUAUAU